GCUCGUAGUUGGAUCUCGGCGGACAGAAGUCGGUCCGAAUGCUUUCGGUACUGGCUUGUCUGUCCGUGUGUUUUGCCAGAGGCAGGCGGGUGCUCUUCGCCGAGUGUCCGUCUGUGCUGGCAGGUUUACUUUGAAAAAAUUAGAGUGCUCAAAGCAAGCUCUCACGCUUGAAUAUUCGUGCAUGGAAUAAUAGAAUAGGAUGUCGUUUCUAUUUUGUUGGUUUUCGGAAAUCGACAUAAUGAUUAAUAGGGACAGUCGGGGGCAUUUGUAUUCAAACGACAGAGGUGAAAUUCUUGGACCGUUUGAAGACAAACUACUGCGAAAGCAUUUGCCAAGAAUGUUUUCAUUAAUCAAGAACGAAAGUUAGAGGUUCGAAGGCGAUUAGAUACCGCCCUAGUUCUAACCAUAAACGAUGCCAGCUAGCGAUCUGCAGGCGUUUUACUUUACGACCUUGCAGGGAGCUUCCGGGAAACCAAAGCUUGUGGGUUCCAGGGGAAGUAUGGUUGCAAAGCUGAAACUUAAAGGAAUUGACGGAAGGGCACCACCAGGAGUGGAGCCUGUGGCUUAAUUUGACUCAACACGGGAAAUCUCACCAGGCCCGGACACGAGAAGGAUUGACAGAUUGAUAGCUCUUUCUUGAUUUCGUGGGUGGUGGUGCAUGGCCGUUCUUAGUUGGUGGAGUGAUUUGUCUGGUUAAUUCCGAUAACGAACGAGACUCUGUCCUGCUAACUAGUGUCUGCUUCUUUUCUGAGCAGAUUAUUCUUCUUAGAGGGACUGGUAGCUCUUAGCUACACGAGAUUGGGCAAUAACAGGUCUGUGAUGUCCUUAGAUGUUCUGGGCCUGCACACGCGCUACACUGAAUGG
This 864-nucleotide ribosomal RNA is filed under the name Eudiaptomus environmental sample. RNAcentral describes it as "SSU rRNA". It matches the Rfam family "Eukaryotic small subunit ribosomal RNA", at positions 626 to 1510 of the family's 1831-position model. Lineage: Eukaryota; Metazoa; Arthropoda; Copepoda; Calanoida; Diaptomidae. The record is from RNAcentral.